GACGAACGCUGGCGGCGUGCUUAACACAUGCAAGUCGAGCGGUAAGGCCCUUUCGGGGGUACACGAGCGGCGAACGGGUGAGUAACGACGUGGGUGACCUGCCCUCAGCUCUGGGAUAAGCCUGGGAAACUGGGUCUAAUACUGGAUAUGACUCCACGGUGCAUGUCGUGGGGUGGAAAGCCUUGUGCGGCUGAGGAUGGGCCCGCGGCCUAUCAGCUUGUUGGUGGGGUGAGGCCUACCAAGGCGACGACGGGUAGCCGGCCUGAGAGGGCGACCGGCCACACUGGGACUGAGACACGGCCCAGACUCCUACGGGAGGCAGCAGUGGGAAUAUUGGACAAUGGGCGCAAGCCUGAUCCAGCCAUGCCGCGUGAGUGAAGAAGGCCUUA
Molecule: ribosomal RNA, 389 nt
Filed under: uncultured bacterium
Lineage: Bacteria
Description: bacterial SSU rRNA
Rfam family: Bacterial small subunit ribosomal RNA
Source: RNAcentral